RNAcentral lists this ribosomal RNA (465 nucleotides) under Vreelandella stevensii. RNAcentral describes it as "partial 16S ribosomal RNA". It matches the Rfam family "Bacterial small subunit ribosomal RNA", at positions 338 to 795 of the family's 1533-position model. Lineage: Bacteria; Pseudomonadati; Pseudomonadota; Gammaproteobacteria; Oceanospirillales; Halomonadaceae. The record is from RNAcentral.
CCUACGGGUGGCAGCAGUGGGGAAUAUUGGACAAUGGGCGAAAGCCUGAUCCAGCCAUGCCGCGUGUGUGAAGAAGGCCUUCGGGUUGUAAAGCACUUUCAGUGGGGAAGAAAGCCUUGGGGCUAAUACCCUCGAGGAAGGACAUCACCCACAGAAGAAGCACCGGCUAACUCCGUGCCAGCAGCCGCGGUAAUACGGAGGGUGCGAGCGUUAAUCGGAAUUACUGGGCGUAAAGCGCGCGUAGGCGGUCUGAUAAGCCGGUUGUGAAAGCCCCGGGCUCAACCUGGGAACGGCAUCCGGAACUGUCAGGCUAGAGUGCAGGAGAGGAAGGUAGAAUUCCCGGUGGAGCGGUGAAAUGCGUAGAGAUCGGGAGGAAUACCAGUGGCGAAGGCGGCCUUCUGGACUGACACUGACGCUGAGGUGCGAAAGCGUGGGUAGCAAACAGGAUUAGAUACCCCGGUAGUC